CGGACGGGUGAGUAACGCGUGAGCAACUGCCUUUGCUUGGGGGAUAACACUGGAACGUUGCUAAUACCGCAUAACGUAGCGACUUCGCAUGAAGAUGCUACCAAAGAUUUAUGAGCAAAGAUGGGCUCGCGUCUGAUUAGAUAGUUGCGGGGUAACGGCCCACCAAGUCGACGAUCAGUAGCCGGACUGAGAGGUUGAAACGGCCACAUUGGGACUGAGACACGGCCCAGACUCCUACGGGAGGCAGCAGUGGGGGAUAUUGGACAAUGGGGGCAACCCUGAUCCAGCGACGCCGCGUGAGGGAAGAAGGCCUUCGGGUUGUAAACUUCUUUUAGCAGGGACGAAGAACGUGACGGUACCUGCAGAAAAAGCAACGGCUAACUACGUG
Molecule: ribosomal RNA, 388 nt
Filed under: uncultured bacterium
Lineage: Bacteria
Description: bacterial SSU rRNA
Rfam family: Bacterial small subunit ribosomal RNA
Source: RNAcentral